Molecule: long non-coding RNA, 271 nt
Filed under: Lathyrus oleraceus (garden pea)
Lineage: Eukaryota; Viridiplantae; Streptophyta; Magnoliopsida; Fabales; Fabaceae
Description: Pisum sativum (pea) long non-coding RNA (PSAT_LNC035879)
Source: RNAcentral
AACCAAGAAUCUCAAGCCAAGUGAGAAGUCAACACAAGUAGUGCAACAAUGCCAUCAACCACAACUAGGGUUCCCACUACCUCAAAGCAAACCACAUGAUUCAUAAGCCUCCCAGGUCAAGGAUUAGGGUUUGGUGUGAAAUGCAUACCAAGAUGCAACCUCCAAGACCUUAAGCAUCUAACAACUAGGGUUUUGAUGAAUCCCAAGUCCAAAAGUCAACCAACAUGGCACUUAAGCACCAAUUAUCCCAGAUUAGGGUUUCAAACACAAC